UUCCGUAGGUGAACCUGCGGAGGGAUCAUUACCGAGUGAGGGCGUCGACGCCCGACCUCCAACCCUUUGUCGAUGAAACCCCUGUUGCCUCGGGGGUGACCCGGCCUUCGGGCGUCGGGGCCCCCGAUGGACCAUCAAACUCUGCAUCUCUGCGUCGGAGUCUCGAGGAAAUCGAAUCAAAACUUUCAACAACGGAUCUCUUGGUUCUGGCAUCGAUGAAGAACGCAGCGAAACGCGAUAAGUAAUGUGAAUUGCAGAAUUCAGUGAAUCAUCGAAUCUUUGAACGCACAUUGCGCCCUUUGGUAUUCCGAGGGGCAUGCCCGUUCGAGCGUCAUUACACCAAUCAAGCCCGGCUUGGUGCUGGGUCGCGGGGUGACCCGGACCUCAAAAGCGUCGGCUGGAGGACCCGGAUCUCAGCGUUGUGGCACGAUCAAUCCGCUGGCGAGAAGGGGCUUUCACGCCGGGAAAUGUCCUUUUAGGUUGACCUCGGAUCGGGUAGGGAUACCCGCUGAACUUAAGCAUAUCAAUAAGCGGAGGA
Molecule: ribosomal RNA, 538 nt
Filed under: uncultured Ascomycota
Lineage: Eukaryota; Fungi; Ascomycota
Description: eukaryotic LSU rRNA
Rfam family: 5.8S ribosomal RNA (bases 181-334)
Source: RNAcentral